GCUGGGUGUGGUGGCACAUGCCUGUAAUUCUAUCUGCUCAGGAGCCUGAGACAGGAGGAUCAUGAGUUCAAAGCCAGCUUCAGUAAUGGCGGGGUGCUAAGCAACUUAGUGAGACCCUGUCUCUA
This 125-nucleotide small RNA is filed under the name Marmota monax (woodchuck). Lineage: Eukaryota; Metazoa; Chordata; Mammalia; Rodentia; Sciuridae. The record is from RNAcentral.